AGCAGUUUUGUCACACAGCGGUUCACAUACAAUCACCAAAGUUAAGCAACAUUGAGCCUGAUCAGUACCUAGAUGAAUGACUGCUUGGGAAUACCAGGUGCUGUAAG
Molecule: ribosomal RNA, 107 nt
Filed under: Acanthosepion pharaonis
Lineage: Eukaryota; Metazoa; Mollusca; Cephalopoda; Sepiida; Sepiidae
Source: RNAcentral